Molecule: non-coding RNA, 90 nt
Organism: Amylocystis lapponica
Lineage: Eukaryota; Fungi; Basidiomycota; Agaricomycetes; Polyporales; Postiaceae
Source: the annotation of a GenBank genome assembly
GCAUUAAUGGGGUAGUGGUAACCUGGGUCGUUGCCAUUCUGAACUGAAUUCUGGUUCGACCCGCCGGGGGUUCGAUUCCCCCUUAAUGCA